Molecule: non-coding RNA, 73 nt
Organism: Balaenoptera musculus (blue whale)
Lineage: Eukaryota; Metazoa; Chordata; Mammalia; Artiodactyla; Balaenopteridae
Source: the annotation of a RefSeq genome assembly
UCCCUGGUGGUCCAGUGGUUAGGACUCCGAGCUUCCAAUGCUGUGGGCCCAGGUUUGAUCCCUGGUCGGGGAA